Molecule: ribosomal RNA, 250 nt
Filed under: uncultured bacterium
Lineage: Bacteria
Description: partial 16S ribosomal RNA
Rfam family: Bacterial small subunit ribosomal RNA
Source: RNAcentral
UACGGAGGGUGCAAACGUUGUUCGGAAUCAUUGGGCGUAAAGCGCGCGUAGGCGGCCGAUCAGGUCGGGUGUGAAAGCCCGGGGCUCAACCCCGGAACUGCGCUCGAAACCGGUCGGCUCGAGUCCCGGAGGGAGAAGUGGAAUUCCAGGUGUAGGGGUGAAAUCCGUAGAUAUCUGGAGGAACACCAGUGGCGAAGGCGACUUCUUGGCCGAGGACUGACGCUGAGGUGCGAAAGCGUGGGGAGCAAAC